RNAcentral lists this ribosomal RNA (253 nucleotides) under uncultured bacterium. Its description in RNAcentral is "partial 16S ribosomal RNA". It matches the Rfam family "Bacterial small subunit ribosomal RNA", at positions 524 to 776 of the family's 1533-position model. The record is from RNAcentral.
GACGUAGGGCGCGAGCGUUGUCCGGAUUUAUUGGGCGUAAAGAGCUCGUAGGCGGCUCGUUGCGUCGGCUGUGAAAACCCGCAGCUCAACUGUGGGCUUGCAGCCGAUACGGGCGGGCUAGGAUUCGGUAGGGGAGACUGGAAUUCCUGGUGUAGCGGUGAAAUGCGCAGAUAUCAGGAGGAACACCGAUGGCGAAGGCAGGUCUCUGGGCCACUACUGACGCUGAGAAGCGAAAGCGUGGGGAGCGAACAGG